AUACGUAGGUGGCAAGCGUUAUCCGGAAUUACUGGGCGUAAAGCGCACGCAGGCGGCCAGUCAAGUCUGACGUGAAAGCUCCUGGCUUAACUGGGAGAGGUCGUUGGAAACUGAUUGGCUUGAGGCAAUGAGAGGGACACGGAAUUCCCGGUGUAGUGGUGGAAUGCGUAGAUAUCGGGAGGAACACCAGUGGCGAAAGCGGUGUCCUGGCAUUGACCUGACGCUCAUGUGCGAAAGCGUGGGGAGCGAACGGGAUUAGAUACCCCAGUAGUCC
RNAcentral lists this ribosomal RNA (274 nucleotides) under uncultured bacterium. RNAcentral describes it as "partial 16S ribosomal RNA". It matches the Rfam family "Bacterial small subunit ribosomal RNA", at positions 523 to 796 of the family's 1533-position model. The record is from RNAcentral.